UCAGCGGCGGACGGGUGAGUAAUGCCUAGGAAUCUGCCUGGUAGUGGGGGAUAACGUCCGGAAACGGGCGCUAAUACCGCAUACGUCCUGAGGGAGAAAGUGGGGGAUCUUCGGACCUCACGCUAUCAGAUGAGCCUAAGUCGGAUUAGCUAGUUGGUGGGGUAAAGGCCUACCAAGGCGACGAUCCGUAACUGGUCUGAGAGGAUGAUCAGUCACACUGGAACUGAGACACGGUCCAGACUCCUACGGGAGGCAGCAGUGGGGAAUAUUGGACAAUGGGCGAAAGCCUGAUCCAGCCAUGCCGCGUGUGUGAAGAAGGUCUUCGGAUUGUAAAGCACUUUACGUUGGGAGGAACGGCAGUAAGUUAGUACCUUGCUGUUUUGACGUUACCAACAGAAUAAGCACCGGCUAGCUUCGUGCCAGCAGCCGCGGGAAUACGAAGGGUGCAAGCGUUAAUCGGAAUUACUGGGCGUAAUAGCGCGCGUAGGUGGUUCAGCAAGUUGGAUGUGUAAUCCCCGGGCUCAACCUGGGAACUGCAUCCUAAACUACUGAGCUAGAGUACGGUAGAGGGUGUUGGAAUUUCCUGUGUAGCGGUGAAAUGCGUAGAUAUAGGAAGGAACACCAGUGGCGAAGGCGACCACCUGGACUGAUACUGACACUGAGGUGCGAAAGCGUGGGGAGCAAACAGGAUUA
This 693-nucleotide ribosomal RNA is filed under the name uncultured Pseudomonadaceae bacterium. RNAcentral's name for it is "SSU rRNA". It matches the Rfam family "Bacterial small subunit ribosomal RNA", at positions 92 to 780 of the family's 1533-position model. Lineage: Bacteria; Pseudomonadati; Pseudomonadota; Gammaproteobacteria; Pseudomonadales; Pseudomonadaceae. The record is from RNAcentral.